GAAGGGGCUAGCGUUGCUCGGAAUCACUGGGCGUAAAGGGCGCGUAGGCGGCCGAUUAAGUCGGGGUGAAAGCCUGUGGCUCAACCACAGAAUUGCCUUCGAUACUGGUUGGCUUGAGACCGGAAGAGGACAGCGGAACUGCGAGUGUAGAGGUGAAAUUCGUAGAUAUUCGCAAGAACACCAGUGGCGAAGGCGGCUGUCUGGUCCGGUUCUGACGCUGAGGCGCGAAAGCGUGGGGGAGCAAACAGGAUUAGAUACCCUGGUAGCCCACGCCGUAAACGAUGAAUGCCCAGCCGUUGGCCUGCUUGCAGGUCAGUGGCGCCGCUAACGCAUUAAGCAUUCCGCCUGGGGAGUACGGUCGCAAGAUUA
RNAcentral lists this ribosomal RNA (369 nucleotides) under uncultured organism. RNAcentral's name for it is "partial 16S ribosomal RNA". It matches the Rfam family "Bacterial small subunit ribosomal RNA", at positions 528 to 896 of the family's 1533-position model. The record is from RNAcentral.